UAUACUUGCUAAACAUUGAUGCGCAUCAAGCUGUAACUGCGCUAUACUCUCCCUAGAAGACCGACCUUUGCGAAAACCAAACUGAUUAUUAGGCAAAAGACAAUUUUGUUCUAUAAAGAACUCGAGACGUUGUUUUAGAAGCUGCUCAAAUAUCUUCCCAACACAAGACGUGAGAGCUAUAGGUCUAUAAGAGUCAGCAUUUAAAACUGCUUCUGUACACCUCUGAUUCCACCAAGGCGACCAAGGAUAUUUAAAAGAUUUUUGUGAACAAGAACUAGUAGCAUUAUUACUAUUAGAACUUUUGGAAAACAGACAGCUAGGGAUUGACUGCUUGGCAGCAGAAAGUAAAAUAUUACAAAAGGAAUUAAAAGCAUCUAUUGAAGAUAAAGUGUCAAAUUUAACAUCAUCCAAAUAAGAAACAACUAAGUUACUAUACAUAUUCCAAUUCACCUGCUUAUAAUUAGGGGAGAUGAUAACUACUGCCCAGAGGACUAUCAAUAACUGACCAGUCGCAUAAAAGAGCCAAAGAUGGAGUUACCAAAGUCAAGUCAAGAGCAUUAGGACGCCAAGAUGGAGAUCCUAUUGUGGUAGCUUGACCAUUAUUCAGAAUAACAAGACCAUUCUCAUCUAUAACCUCUAAAACAUCUUUACCUCGAGGCAAUGUAUCAACACAUCCCCACAACAUGUGAUGAGCAUUGAAAUCACCUGCAAAUAUCAUUGGAUCUGGAAUGGACUUAAUUAAACUGUUUAAAUUGUUUUUAUUAAAUGGAGGAUUUGAAUUGGAAGGACUGUAAAAACUCACAAUACUCAGUUCUUUGUUAUUAAUUUUAAUUUUAAUGCAAACAUUUUGUA
Long non-coding RNA from Leptidea sinapis, 852 nucleotides. RefSeq lists it as uncharacterized. The transcript has 3 exons. NCBI's taxonomy places the organism in Eukaryota, Metazoa, Arthropoda, Insecta, Lepidoptera, Pieridae. The record is from RefSeq and is a predicted model, not a curated record.